This 150-nucleotide ribosomal RNA is filed under the name Triticum aestivum (bread wheat). RNAcentral's name for it is "partial small subunit ribosomal RNA". The record is from RNAcentral. Lineage: Eukaryota; Viridiplantae; Streptophyta; Magnoliopsida; Poales; Poaceae.
AUGAGGAAAAUCAAUGUCGACAAAUACUUGAUAUCGGCAUUGGUGGAGCGUUGGCGGCCCGAGACAAAUAGUUUUCACCUACCUGUAGGAGAAACAACUAUUACGUUGCAAGAUGUUAGUUGUUUGUGCAGGUUGCCUAUCCAUGGUAAA